Molecule: non-coding RNA, 335 nt
Organism: Cucurbita pepo subsp. pepo (vegetable marrow)
Lineage: Eukaryota; Viridiplantae; Streptophyta; Magnoliopsida; Cucurbitales; Cucurbitaceae
Source: RefSeq, a predicted model, not a curated record
GGAAGGGAAAAGAGAAUGUGGGUGGCCGGAGUCCCAUUUUUCAUCAAGAAAUUGGAAAACCCGCAAGGAACAACUCUACGCAUGAUCUGUGAAGAAGUUUGGCCGAGAUCUCAACCUGAAGGCGGAGGUCCGAGAAUCAUCUGAGAACGGUGAGCGAACUUCCGACGCUCUUAACUCGUCCAGUAGUCAAGCAAAAAUAUUACAAAAAAUACAAGGACGUAGCCCGUAAAACGAUCUAGAACUUUGCUGAAGGAAUCAUAUCGAUCCGAUCUACGGAUCGAAAGAUAUGAAAAUCGGAAAAGGGGAUUGUGUUUCAGUUUUUAGAGGACAGAGAA